RNAcentral lists this ribosomal RNA (497 nucleotides) under uncultured bacterium. RNAcentral describes it as "partial 16S ribosomal RNA". It matches the Rfam family "Bacterial small subunit ribosomal RNA", at positions 28 to 507 of the family's 1533-position model. The record is from RNAcentral.
GAUGAACGCUGGCGGCGUGCCUAAUACAUGCAAGUCGAGCGAACAGACGAGGAGCUUGCUCCUCUGACGUUAGCGGAGGACGGGAGAAUAACACGUGGAUAACCUCCCUAUAAGACUGGGAUAACUUCGGGAAACCGGAGCUAAUACCGUAUAAUCUCUUGAACCGCAUGGUUCAAUAGUGAAAGACGGUUUUGCUGUCUCUUCUCGAUGGUUCCGCGCCGCAUUAGCUAGUUGGUAAGGUAACGGCUUACCAAGGCAACGAUGCGUAGCCGACCUGAGAGGGUGAUCGGCCACACUGGAGCUGAGACACGGUCCAGACUCCUACGGGAGGCAGCAGUAGGGUAUCUUCCGCAAUGGGCGAAAGCCUGACAGAGCAACGGCGCGUGAGAGAUGAAGGUCUUCGGAUCGUAAAACUCUGUUAUUAGGGAUGAACAAAUGUGUAAGUAACUAUGCACGUCGUGACGGUAACUAAUCAGAAAGCCACGGCUAACUACGUG